RNAcentral lists this long non-coding RNA (5366 nucleotides) under Marmota monax (woodchuck). The record is from RNAcentral. Lineage: Eukaryota; Metazoa; Chordata; Mammalia; Rodentia; Sciuridae.
GGAAAGGCAGCAGAACACAACAGACACUAGUAUGGCAAUAUGUAAAUCAAUGGAUGUGUAACUGAUGUGAUUCUGCAAUCUGUAUAUGGGGUAAAAAUGGGAGUUCAUAACCCACUUGAAUCAAAGUGUGAAAUAUGAUAUAUCAAGAAAUUUGUAAUGUUUUGAACAACCAACAAUAAAAAAAAUUUAAAAAAACCUGUAAGAAAAAAUAAAAUAAAAUAAAAUACCAGAUAGGAUUUAUGCUUUGUAGGCUACAUGCAACUCUGUAUUCCUCUUAUUUUCUUUACAUACCUUUGAAAAUGUAAAAAACAAUUAUCCUGCAAGUCAUAAAAAGCAGGUUGGAUGCCCAUGGGUUAGACUAUUUUGAACCAAGAAGAUCCCAGUUGAAGUGGCUUAACAUGUAAAAGGUUUAUUCUUGCUCACAUCACUGUCCAGUGCAGGUCAGUGGCCCUCCAGAGCAGCUUUAAUCUGUGUGGUAACUUAGGGAUACAGGAUGCCUUCAUCUUCUCAGGUCACCAUCUAUGCCAUCCCGAUUUUUUUUUUUUUUUGUACUGUAGAUUGAACUCAGGGACAGUUAACCACUGAGCCACAUCCCCAGCCCUAUUUUGUAUUUUAUUUAGAGACAGGAUCUCACUGAAUUGCUUAGCACCUUAGCUGUGAACUCCCAAUCUUCCUGCCUCAGCCUCCUGAGCCACUGGGAUUACAGGCAUGUGCUACCAUGCCCAGCUCCCAGCCCAUUCUUUUUUUUAUUCUUAGAUUUAUUUUCCAAAAUGCAAUUUAUAUGUUCUUAUAUGUAAAAAGCAACCUUAAUUACAACAUGAAAUAACCAUAUUAUUUGCUUUCUCCAGUUACAAAUACAUAUAAAUCUAUUAAAUGUAAUGUUAGAUGUAUGCUUUCUCUCUAUUAUGUGAUUGCUCCUCUCUUUUAAAGGUACAGGCCUUAAGGACAAGAUGGGCUCCUGGAGGCAAGUGUGUGGGGUGAACCCUAUGGACUGACUUCAGUGCCUACUGUGGGCACUGACCCUGAUCUGACCCCUGCCACUCAGCAGUGCACCUGGGGAACAUCUAGCAUGCCAAGUCCUCAUCUAGAGAGAUGCCCCAGGUUGGCAUUUUUGAAGUUCCUAAUGGGGACUUAGAGCUCAGAAUUGUGGCCACAGCAGAAGUUUUGGAAAUGCUUCUCUGUUCUUCUCCAUGUCUUGCAUGUCUAGGAACUAUCGCCAAAUCCACUUCUCUUGAUCCUCCUGGGACAGCAUAGUGAUCCAAGUUGAAUUGGGGCAAAUACUCGGUUCUCAAAUUCAAUAGAUGUGGAGGUAUGUUAAGUCUGUCUAAUGUCUAUAAGAAUUUAGUUUAGUAAUUACGUCAGAAUAUUUUUCUGCUCUCUUUAAAAGGUUUAUUUUAUUUUUUUGAGAGAUAGAGAGAGAGAGAGAGAGAGAAUUUUAGUAUUUAUUUUUUAUUUAUCAGCAGGCACAACAUCUUUGUUUGUAUGUGGUGCUGAGGAUCGAACCCGGGCUGCGCGCAUGCCAGGUGAGCGCGCUACCGCUUGAGCCACAUCCCCAGCCCACUUUAAAAGGUUUAUAUGGAAUAAGGAGAAACUAUUCUAAAGGGUAGGGAAGGUUUUUCCACAUCAAGGAUUUGUACAUCUGUCUGCAGGUUUUGUUUGGGGACUUCAUGGUGCCUAGAAUCUGAGCCCUGGAAUGAGCCGUCAGAGACAAAGCAUGCACAGAAACCCUCUUAACUGCAAAGCUUGCCUAGGCUAUUUACUCUCUAAAUAUAUCUAAACAACAUAAGAAGACCAUGGAUCUAUAACUGAAGUAUUAAGCCCCUGCAGAUAGAAACAAUUCUUAACCAAUAGAUUAAGCAUUUAAAUUAUUAGCAAACGAUAAAACAACAACAAAAGAAACAUAACAAAAAUAUAAAAAGGAAACACAUAAUUCUCUCAACCUUCCCUGUCUCUGUUCCUCACCAAAGGAACAUUGAUCUGGGUAUAAAAAUCCAAACAAAGGGGCUGGGUUGUGGCUCAGCAGUAGAGCACUUGCCUACCAUGUGCAAGGCCCUGGGUUUGAUCCUCAGCACCACAUAAAAAUAAAUAAAUAGAAUAAAGGUAUUAAAAAAAUCCAAACAACAUUCUUUCUUUGCUUUUUAGUUGGAAGUGACUGUGGAAAUGGUGGUUCCCACUCUUAUUUUAUAUUUUGAGACAUGGUCUUGCUAAGUUACUUAGGACCUCACUAAGUUGUUGAGGCUGUCUUUGAACUUGAGAUCCUCCUGCCUCAGUCUUCUGAGUUGCUGGGAUUACAGGUGUAUACUAUCAAUACUGGUUUACACAACUAUUUAAAGUAUUAUGUCAUAUCUGUUAUGUUUUCUUAGUUAGUAUUCAAAUAGCCUCACAUUAACAGCAGAGGAGUUGAGCCAAAGUAGUUUCCUGUAUGUCUGGGAAGAGGAAAUGGCAUACAAAAACACAGGAAUGUCUUUCCCCCAGAUUAAAGAAAAGUUAAGACAUGGUCCUUGUCUUAUAGGACCUAGUAUCAAGCUGGGACAAAGGAUGGGCAUGAAUGAAACAUCAAAUAACAAAGAACAACUUCAAAUUCUGUGUCAGAGUUCUGACAAAAGUCAAAACAAAAGACUAUAGAAAUUCACAGGACCAAGAGACCAGACUGGGCCCAUGUAGUUGGCUAAAACUUUAUGGAGAAGAUAGAACUGGAAUUUGAUUUUGAAGCACUGGCAAGACUUAGCCAGAGGGAGAAAGAUGGGAAAUGUUUUUUAGGAAGGGGAAGUAGCAUAAACAAAUUGUCACAACUGGAGAAGGCCAGGGCGUCCAAAGUGUUUGCACUGGUGGAGUUCAGGCACUGAUCCAUCCUAAUGCCUGCUGUCCUGGCAGAAGAUCUCAGUGGUUGGCUUUGGGAGAGGUUCUUGUGCAGGGACUGGGGUAGAGGUAGGGCUGUAAGGCAGGGUGGAGGAGACAGCUUCCUAGCAUUUUACCCCAUUCACUGCAUGCUGAGGUGUCUCAGUGUUUUAACAACCAGAAUGGCUUCAUCAGUGCAUGUAAGCUAAACAUCUGCCCUGCAUCGGAGACUUAUGGAAACAGAGGAUGGAAAGACAAGUUGGAAUUAAAUUGGGAAGGUCUCUGAUUGCAAGGGUGUUUGGAAUAUCCAAAGCAGAGAUUGACAUUAUUUAUUUUCAGAGAUAAAGCCUAGAGCACCCUAUAUAAUAAAUAUCCAAUAAUGAAUGGUUAAAUAUAAAUAGUGAACCCAUAUAAUGGAAUUGUCUGUGAUCAUUAAGAUCCAGUUUCUGAAGACUUUUAACAACAUGGAAUGAUAUGUAUAAACUAGAAAACUAGAGAAACUAGAACAAAAAAACUAGAGAAGAAAACUAGAGUAUAAUACCAAUUUAGUAAUAAAAAUAUUAAGACUAAAAUAACAUCAAACAUAGUGGUUAUUUAAAAAUUAAUUUAAAUUGACAAAAAUAAUAUAUAUUUGUCAUGUAUGUUUUAAAAUAUAUAUAAUUAGUAUUUAUUUUUGGAUGGUAGUAUUACAUUGAUUUUUCUUUUCAUCAUUAAAUUUUCCUAUGUUUUGAAUUUUUAUAUAAUAAACCCAUAUGACUUAUAAUAAUUACUCCUCAAAAGAAAGUUUAACAUGUGGCAUGUGGCACAGUGGUGGCGGUGACUACAAUUUUCUCUUUCUUUUGUAGGUAAAUUCCAGUCUCAUUUCGGCAGUGCCCAAGAACUAAGUACCUACAUGAGUCAGUCCACAGUGGCUGAGCAUCAUCUAUCCCUGGGAUAUCAGGCUCAGUUUGCCACUGAGCAGACAACUGGAAAGCCCACCUUGUUUGUCAUCCUAUAUAGGUGAACUUGUAAUUCCAGCAACUCAACUCACAGAGUGAAUACUGAUCCAGAAAAUUGCACAGCCACCCUGGGCUUGAGCCACUGACUUGUGGGGUAUCAAGGAUUGGUCACAGAACAGUGAGAACCCAUACAGACAUGGCAUCUCAUUUCACAGACCGGAAAACCAGAAAGAGGAAGGCACUUACCCAAGGUCACACAGUGAGUAACUAUAAGUAGGGACUUGAACCUGGUCUUUGUCCUAUGCUAUGUCUUCAUCUAUCACAGUGUACCUUAGACAACUGACUUCCCUGGAUUCUGUUCAAAUCCCUCUUUUGCCUAGGUUCUAUAAGUCAGAUGUGGUUUGGAAUUAAAUUCACAGAAUCACUGCUAUUUCAUGGCUCUUCAGUUUUGUGGCUCCCUAGGUCUUCUGACAAAAUUCUGUCCUUCUUUAAAUCCAAUAUGUAAUGAAAACAUUGGCCAAAAUAUCUUCUGAAAAUAAUCUGGCAGUUCCUUAGAAAGUUAAAUGUAUACCCACUAAUUCUAUUCCUGGGAAAAUACCCAAGAGAAUUGGAAAAUAUAUGUCCACACAAAAACAUGAACUCAAAUGUUCAACAGCUUUACCCAUAUCAGCAAAAGAGUGGAAACAAUGAAAAUGUCCAUCAGCUGAUGACUGGAUAAACAAAAUGUGCUAUAUCUGUACAAUGGGAUAUUUUUUGUUAAUAAUCAAAAGUAAUGAAGAACCAGUUCUUGCUACAACAUGGAUGACCCUGGAAAACACCAUGCUAAGUGAAAUAAGCCCAUUACCAGAGACCACAUAUCAUAUGAUUCCAUUUAUAUGAAAUGCCCAGAGUAGGCAAAUUCAGAGAGACAAAAGUAGAUUAGUGGUUUCCAGAGACUUGGGGAUAAGGAAUGGGAGGUAAUGGAUGUAGGGUUAUUUUAUUGGGUAAUGAACAUGUUCUAGAAUUAGAUAGUGGUGAUCAUUGCAUAAUUGUGAAUAUACUAAAAAACGCUGUGUACACUUUACAAUGUUAUGGUAUGUAAAUUUAAAUUAUAUCUUUCAAAAAGAUUGUCUCUGAUUAGAACCCAAGAAAAAUGAAAUUGGAGGAAAUCUGAAAUGAGAAAAGUGUUAUAAGGUGAAGACCUAUGAUUCGACCAGACUUUUGGGCCUAAAAGAACAUGUAUAAGCAGGUCUUCUGGUAUUCUCAAAACUGCCUUAUGAAGAAGCUACUCAGGCCAGGCGUGGUGGUAUGUGCCUAUAUCCCACUGAUUGGGGAGACUGAGGCAGGAGAAUUGAGAGUUUGAGGCCAACCUCAGCAAUUUAGUGAGACCCUCAGAGACUCUGUCCAAAAACAAACAAACAAACAAACAAACAAACAAAAACAGGAGUGGGGACUGAUGUAGCUCAGGGGUGAAGCACCCCAGGGUUUAAUCCCAAGUGCCCCUGCCCCAAGUAGCUACUCAGGUAGUAACUAGAAUCACCGCUCUUCUAUUAACUAGAAACAUGAUCCUUAAAUAUCUUAAAUCUUAUCAUUCCAAUUUCUUCAUUAACA